AUUGAACGCUGGCGGCAGGCCUAACACAUGCAAGUCGAACGGUAACAGGAAACAGCUUGCUGUUUCGCUGACGAGUGGCGGACGGGUGAGUAAUGUCUGGGAAACUGCCUGAUGGAGGGGGAUAACUACUGGAAACGGUAGCUAAUACCGCAUAACGUCGCAAGACCAAAGAGGGGGACCUUCGGGCCUCUUGCCAUCGGAUGUGCCCAGAUGGGAUUAGCUAGUAGGUGGGGUAACGGCUCACCUAGGCGACGAUCCCUAGCUGGUCUGAGAGGAUGACCAGCCACACUGGAACUGAGACACGGUCCAGACUCCUACGGGAGGCAGCAGUGGGGAAUAUUGCACAAUGGGCGCAAGCCUGAUGCAGCCAUGCCGCGUGUAUGAAGAAGGCCUUCGGGCUGUAAAGUACUUUCAGCGGGGAGGAAGGGAGUAAAGUUAAUACCUUUGCUCAUUGACGUUACCCGCAGAAGAAGCACCGGCUAACUCCGUG
RNAcentral lists this ribosomal RNA (490 nucleotides) under uncultured bacterium. Its description in RNAcentral is "partial 16S ribosomal RNA". It matches the Rfam family "Bacterial small subunit ribosomal RNA", at positions 30 to 507 of the family's 1533-position model. The record is from RNAcentral.